This 303-nucleotide long non-coding RNA is filed under the name Elaeis guineensis (African oil palm). RNAcentral describes it as "long non-coding RNA (EGUI_LNC077092)". Lineage: Eukaryota; Viridiplantae; Streptophyta; Magnoliopsida; Arecales; Arecaceae. The record is from RNAcentral.
UAUACAGCGCAUGUAUAUAUAAACACAGGGUCAAGUGACCCAAACCCAAAACUCUCUUGACCAACUCUAUGGGAGAUUAGGUUAACCCAAGCCCAUGUACACCCAUGACUCGACCUAAUCUCACCUAUCCUGGGCCCAGACUUGGUCCAUAAAGAGUUGGUCUCUUGAGGCCCACAUAACCUAGACCUCAAGAACCCGAAAGGCCCACAGCCUUUCAACCUAGGGCCCAACUAGCCCUAGAGCCUCCAUAAAGCCCUCAUGAAUGAUGGACCUUGGCCUUAGCCUUGGUCCCCUGGGCCUUGG